RNAcentral lists this ribosomal RNA (506 nucleotides) under uncultured bacterium. Its description in RNAcentral is "partial 16S ribosomal RNA". It matches the Rfam family "Bacterial small subunit ribosomal RNA", at positions 29 to 523 of the family's 1533-position model. The record is from RNAcentral.
AGUGAACGCUGGCGGUAGGCCUAACACAUGCAAGUCGAACGGCAGCACAGGAGAGCUUGCUCUCUGGGUGGCGAGUGGCGGACGGGUGAGGAAUACAUCGGAAUCUACUCUGUCGUGGGGGAUAACGUAGGGAAACUUACGCUAAUACCGCAUACGACCUACGGGUGAAAGCAGGGGACCUUCGGGCCUUGCGCGAUUGAAUGAGCCGAUGUCGGAUUAGCUAGUUGGCGGGGUAAAGGCCCACCAAGGCGACGAUCCGUAGCUGGUCUGCGAGGAUGAUCAGCCACACUGGAACUGAGACACGGUCCAGACUCCUACGGGAGGCAGCGGUGGGGAAUAUUGGACAAUGGGAGCAAGCCUGAGCCAGCCAGACCGCGUGGGUGAAUGAGGCCUUCGGGUUGUAAAGCCCUUUUGGUGGGGAAGAAAUCCAGCUGGCUAAUACCCGGUUGGGAUGACGGUACCCAAAGAAUAAGCACCGGCUAACUUCGUGCCAGCCGCCGCGGUAA